RNAcentral lists this ribosomal RNA (486 nucleotides) under Salmonella enterica subsp. enterica serovar Rubislaw. Its description in RNAcentral is "partial 23S ribosomal RNA". It matches the Rfam family "Bacterial large subunit ribosomal RNA", at positions 711 to 1195 of the family's 2925-position model. Lineage: Bacteria; Pseudomonadati; Pseudomonadota; Gammaproteobacteria; Enterobacterales; Enterobacteriaceae. RNAcentral also lists the same sequence under 10 other names. The record is from RNAcentral.
AGACCCGAAACCCGGUGAUCUAGCCAUGGGCAGGUUGAAGGUUGGGUAACACUAACUGGAGGACCGAACCGACUAAUGUUGAAAAAUUAGCGGAUGACCUGUGGCUGGGGGUGAAAGGCCAAUCAAACCGGGAGAUAGCUGGUUCUCCCCGAAAGCUAUUUAGGUAGCGCCUCGUGAAUUCAUCUCCGGGGGUAGAGCACUGUUUCGGCUAGGGGGCCAUCCCGGCUUACCAACCCGAUGCAAACUGCGAAUACCGGAGAAUGUUAUCACGGGAGACACACGGCGGGUGCUAACGUCCGUCGUGAAGAGGGAAACAACCCAGACCGCCAGCUAAGGUCCCAAAGUCAUGGUUAAGUGGGAAACGAUGUGGGAAGGCCCAGACAGCCAGGAUGUUGGCUUAGAAGCAGCCAUCAUUUAAAGAAAGCGUAAUAGCUCACUGGUCGAGUCGGCCUGCGCGGAAGAUGUAACGGGGCUAAACCAUGCACC